CAAGUGGCGAACGGGUGAGUAACACGUGGGUGAUCUGCCCUGUACUUCGGGAUAAGCUUGGGAAACUGGGUCUAAUACCGGAUAGGACUGCAUCGUGGGUGGUGUGGUGGAAAGCUUUUGCGGUAUGGGAUGAGCUCGCGGCCUAUCAGCUUGUUGGUGGGGUAAUGGCCUACCAAGGCGUCGACGGGUAGCCGGCCUGAGAGGGUGUACGGCCACAUUGGGACUGAGAUACGGCCCAGACUCCUACGGGAGGCAGCAGUGGGGAAUAUUGCACAAUGGGCGCAAGCCUGAUGCAGCGACGCCGCGUGGGGGAUGACGGCCUUCGGGUUGUAAACUCCUUUCGCCAGGGACGAAGCGUUAUGUGACGGGUACCUGGAUAAGAAGCACCGGCUAACUACGUGCCAGCAGCCCGCGGGUAAUACGUAGGGUGCGAGCGUUGUCCGGAAAUUACUGGGCGUAAAGAGCUCGUAGGUGGUUUGUCGCGUCGUUUGUGUAAGUCCACGGCUUAACUGUGGGACUGCAGGCGAUACGGGCAUAACUUGAGUGCUGUAGGGGAGACUGGAAUUCCUGGUGUAGCGGUGAAAUGCGCAGAUAUCAGGAGGAACACCGAUGGCGAAGGCAGGUCUCUGGGCAGUAACUGACGCUGAGGAGCGAAAGCAUGGGUAGCGAACAGGAUUAGAUACCCUGGUAGUCCAUGCCGUAAACGGUGGGCGCUAGGUGUGAGUCCCUUCCACGGGGUUCGUGCCGUAGCUAACGCAUUAAGCGCCCCGCCUGGGGAGUACGGCCGCAAGGCUAAAACUCAAAGGAAUUGACGGGGGCCCGCACAAGCGGCGGAGCAUGUGGAUUAAUUUCGAUGCAACGCGAAGAACCUUACCCUGGGGCUUGACAUACACCGGGACCGGGGCCAGAGAUGGUCUUUUCCCCUUUGUGGCUGGUGUACAGGUGGUGCAUGGUUGUCGUCAGCUCGUGUCGUGAGAUGUUGGGUUAAGUCCCGCAACGAGCGCAACCCUUGUCUUAUGUUGCCAGCACGUUGUGGUGGGGACUCAUGAGAGACUGCCGGGGUUAACUCGGAGGAAGGUGGGGAUGACGUCAAAUCAUCAUGCCCCUUAUGUCCAGGGCUUCACACAUGCUACAAUGGUCGGUACAGCGCGUGCGCGAGUUCGUGAGGAUGAGCUAAUCGCUGAAAGCCGGUCGUAGUUCGGAUUGGGGUCUGCAACUCGACCCCAUGAAGUCGGAGUCGCUAGUAAUCGCAGAUCAGCAACGCUGCGGUGAAUACGUUCCCGGGCCUUGUACACACCGCCCGUCACGUCAUGAAAGU
Molecule: ribosomal RNA, 1318 nt
Filed under: Corynebacterium sp.
Lineage: Bacteria; Bacillati; Actinomycetota; Actinomycetes; Mycobacteriales; Corynebacteriaceae
Description: bacterial SSU rRNA
Rfam family: Bacterial small subunit ribosomal RNA
Source: RNAcentral